ACAGAGAGCUAGAGAGAAAAACCAGUGAGCUCGAGAGGAAGAGAGUGACCUGUGUGUGUAAGGCUUGUGUGAGUUGGUACUGCGACGUCUUUCCUCCUUCGAAAGGUAAGCUUUUUCCUCUAUCUUCUACUUCAUUUUCAUAUUCAUUUGGUAUUCUUCUUUCCACUUACAACUAACCCAAACAGAAAGCACAAUAGCUUUAAUCAAAGCUUUAUUUUCUGCAAAUCAGAGUCUUCGGACUCCACAGGUUAUUUGCAGGUUGUAUUCUUCGCUCAGGAACUUGUUUUCUUGAGCAUUUGGACUUCAAUUAAGGUCGACAGUAAGAAGGAAGGAAUUGAAGAAAAAUGCGAGGCAACGACGGGAGAGGCCAAAUUGCUUCUGCCCAUAUCUACCAGGUGCCAAAACAUAGGGAAAAUGGGCUGACACGGCUAUGUCAUGUGCGAUGUGAGUGCGGAAUAUUGUCCAGGUGCCCAAAAGCGCUGGGAUAGGGCACCCUAAUACACUGCGUACGUGUAGUAUGCACGAAGAUGUGUGGCUUUGCCAGCAGCCCAUGUGUGUUGUAAGAGCCUGGGACAGGCAUUGCUUCUGUCGCGUGAGGUUGUGCACACAAAUGCGCGCAGGAUUUGUGUAUGGGCAUCUAAAAGUGCUGGGACAAUGGUCCCUCUGGCAUGUUGUUAUGUGUAGCAAGCCCUAAUAUGAUAUCUUGUAGCUCUAAAUCCAUGUCAGAAGCGGAGUUCCAAAGUGAGAGGGAAUCCCACAAGAAGCAGCCAACUUGCAAGUCAAUUGCCCACAAACAUAUAGACCUGUCCACGAGAAAACCCGCAAGCGGGGCACAUGCCGCACACGCCUGCGCACUUGCCCACAAGCUUGUAGACUUGAGAUCAAGUGGGUUGAGCCUUCUUGAAGCCUAAACCGGCCUAAGCGGUCCAAGGCCAAAACUCGAAAGCCCACAGCUCAUGUAACCAAAAGACUGCCCAAAAAGAGCUUGGAGAGCCCAACCUGAGAGGAUAAAAGGGCCUUGAGCUCGAGGUCUACCUUGGGAAGGCCAAAGAGCGGCUUGACCGCUGCCCAAGAAGGCAAAAAACUAGCCAAGCCUGUUUUUGCCACUAAUUAGCCAAGGCCGAGACUCAUUAAGAGAAAAACGGCUUGGCCACAAGAGGAGGUUGAUCAUCUUUGAAUCCGAUGAGGAGAGCAGCAAGCUGGUUUCAAAAAGGAAAAAGAAGAAAAAGACUCCUUGAAGCAAUUGGUCAAGGAAUUCCUAAUUCUUGUUGAAUUCAAACGUAUGGAAAGAGAAGGAAGAUGAUUUCUACCUACAUGAGGAGAUCCUUCUCCUACCUUCAUUACAAGUCCAACAACAAGAAGAUUCCACAUCUCUGUCGAAGAAUACAUGCUAUAAAAAGAAGAGUUCAAGUUAUAAACCAUCAACCAAGGCGAUGAAGCAAGCAUUCAACAUGAAAAAAAACCCGAAAGCAUUAUGAAAUCAGCCUAGAAGGAAUUCCACAUGUUGUAGACCUCUUGAAGAAUCCUACAUAAAAUCUAGGUGAUUUACAACAAGACUCUUAUUCAAAAAUCAUCAAGAACAAGAGAAAAAUGGAAAGUCAACUUCAACUGUAAGGAGGAGUUUUAUUAUUUUAGUUGUUUUAUUUCUUUGAAUUAUCCUAUUAGAUAAAGUAUGAUUAUUUUGAUUUAAAUGUAUUUGUUCUCUAAUUAAAUUAAAUCUUAGAAUUUG
Long non-coding RNA from Carica papaya (papaya), 1729 nucleotides. RefSeq lists it as uncharacterized. NCBI's taxonomy places the organism in Eukaryota, Viridiplantae, Streptophyta, Magnoliopsida, Brassicales, Caricaceae. The record is from RefSeq and is a predicted model, not a curated record.